Non-coding RNA from Trichonephila inaurata madagascariensis, 76 nucleotides. Lineage: Eukaryota; Metazoa; Arthropoda; Arachnida; Araneae; Nephilidae. The record is from the annotation of a GenBank genome assembly.
GUCACUUUAGCGCAAUGGAUACGUCGUUGAACUUCUACUUCAAAGGUCGUGGGUUCGAAUCCAACCAGGAAUGACA